GACGAACGCUGGCGGCGUGCCUAAUACAUGCAAGUCGAACGAGAGCGACCGGUGCUUGCACUGGUCAAUCUAGUGGCGAACGGGUGAGUAACACGUGGGUAACCUGCCCAUCAGAGGGGGAUAACAUUCGGAAACGGAUGCUAAAACCGCAUAGGUCUUCGAACCGCAUGGUUUGAAGAGGAAAAGAGGCGCAAGCUUCUGCUGAUGGAUGGACCCGCGGUGCAUUAGCUAGUUGGUGAGGUAACGGCUCACCAAGGCCGUGAUGCAUAGCCGACCUGAGAGGGUGAUCGGCCACAUUGGGACUGAGACACGGCCCAAACUCCUACGGGAGGCAGCAGUAGGGAAUCUUCCGCAAUGGACGAAAGUCUGACGGAGCAACGCCGCGUGAGUGAAGAAGGUUUUCGGAUCGUAAAACUCUGUUGUUAGAGAAGAAUAAGUGCUAGAGUAACUGUUAGCGCCUUGACGGUAUCUAACCAGAAAGCCACGGCUAACUACGU
This 497-nucleotide ribosomal RNA is filed under the name uncultured bacterium. Its description in RNAcentral is "partial 16S ribosomal RNA". It matches the Rfam family "Bacterial small subunit ribosomal RNA", at positions 28 to 506 of the family's 1533-position model. The record is from RNAcentral.